GAUUGAGUGGUUAAGUGUGUAGCGUAUUUACUUAAGGUUUUGUGUUUGAGUCUCUAUAUGCAUAAGAAAUAUUUUAUCUUCUUCAUUCUCUAGCAAGAUGGUGGGGUUUGGAUUAAAAUUUCUUUUUCCAAAAUAUCCCAUGUUUUCCUUGUUUCAAGUCCAUUUUGUUUUUAUUUUAUUUUUAUUCAUUUUCUUUUUCUGUUUCUCACCUUUCAUUAAUUGCUUUUCUUUUUCAUUUAAUUUUCUUUCUCCCUUCCUACUUUUUUCUCCUAUUCGUUUCUUUUUUGCUCUUUUGUUUUGUGUUCUUUCUCCUGUUGCC
RNAcentral lists this long non-coding RNA (319 nucleotides) under Gossypium raimondii (Peruvian cotton). RNAcentral's name for it is "long non-coding RNA (GRAI_LNC000714)". Lineage: Eukaryota; Viridiplantae; Streptophyta; Magnoliopsida; Malvales; Malvaceae. The record is from RNAcentral.